GAUGAACGCUGGCGGCGUGCCUAAUACAUGCAAGUCGAACGCGAGCACUUGUGCUCGAGUGGCGAACGGGUGAGUAAUACAUAAGUAACCUGCCCUAGACAGGGGGAUAACUAUUGGAAACGAUAGCUAAGACCGCAUAGGUACGGACACUGCAUGGUGACCGUAUUAAAAGUGCCUCAAAGCACUGGUAGAGGAUGGACUUAUGGCGCAUUAGCUGGUUGGCGGGGUAACGGCCACCAAGGCGAUUAUGGGUAGCCGGGUUGAGAGACCGACCGGCCAGAUUGGGACUGAGACACGGCCCAG
Molecule: ribosomal RNA, 303 nt
Filed under: uncultured bacterium
Lineage: Bacteria
Description: bacterial SSU rRNA
Rfam family: Bacterial small subunit ribosomal RNA
Source: RNAcentral